Molecule: long non-coding RNA, 3718 nt
Filed under: Macaca fascicularis (crab-eating macaque)
Lineage: Eukaryota; Metazoa; Chordata; Mammalia; Primates; Cercopithecidae
Description: lncRNA (ENSMFAG00000055755.1)
Source: RNAcentral
UUUUUUUUUUUUUUUUUUUUUUUGAGACGGAGUCUCGCUCUGUCGCCCAGGCUGGAGUGCAGUGGCGAUCUCGGCUCACUGCAAGCUCCGCCUCCCGGGUUCACGCCAUUCUCCUGCCUCAGCCUCCCGAGUAGCUGGGACUACAGGCGCCACAACCGCGCCCGGCUAAUUUUUGUAUUUUUAGUAGAGACGGGUUUCACCGUGGUCUCGAUCUCCUGACCUUGUGAUCCGCCCUCCUCCCAAAGUGCUGGGAUUACAGGCGUGAGCCACCGCGCCCGGCCCCCAGUGGCUUCUUUAUAAAGGUCGCCUGGAAACUAUCCAGUGUGCUGAUAAUGGCUAGAAAUUCACUGGACUCCAUUUACGGUAAUGCCGGGUCCAAACUGCACAAUAGCUAACUGGAGCCUUAGUUGAUCACAGGCCAAUGUAGGGAUUCUGGCAACAGCAGAAUGUCCAAGUUCAGGGAGGGACGCUGACCAUGACCUAAAAUGAUGCUUUCUUACGAAAGUCCUACUAAAUCACUUCAAUAUAGUGAUUAAGGUUCCUUUCUGCCCUUUUUUUUUUUUUUUUUUUGAGAUGGAGUCUCGCUCUGCUGCCCUGGCUGGAGUGCAAUGGCGCGAUCUCGGCUCACUGAAACCUCCGCCCAGGUUCCAGCGAUUCUCCUGCCUCAACCUCCCAAGGAGCUGGGAUUACAGGAGCCUGCCACACCUGGCUAAUUUUUCUAUUUUUAGUAGAGACGGGGUUUCACCGUGUCAGUCAGGCUGGUCUCGAACUCCUGACCUCAGGUGAUCUGCCUGUCUUGGCCUCCCAAAGUGCUGAGAUUACAGGCGUGAGCAACUGUACCUGGCCCGCUUUCUGCCCUUUUCUUAAUGCUUUUACUAUUUUUUAAUUCUGAAGAUUAACUGGGAAGAAAUUGUAAUCAGACAUUACUCUCACCUGUUUCUUUUAAUUAUACAUACUUUAGAUUGCAGACUGAAUACAAAUAUUAAUCAGAAGCCAAAACAUCCCACACAUUACUUAUCAAUCAACCCAGGCCAAUCUGUCUUUCAACUGUACAUUUUUAUGUUCUUGCCUCACCACUUACUAAAAUAAACGUAAGAAUAAAUAGCAAUACAAUCCAAAUAAGCAUCUCUCAUCUAUAAUUAUCUGAAGCAAGGGAUUUAAAGAUGGGUAGAGUUAAUCCACCUCACCAAGUGCAUCUUCAAUGCCUGUUCAGUCAUGCUUCAAUGUCUACAUUCAAUUUAUAGAGAAUAUGAAUAUAUAACAUUGUAGAGGGAGGCUUCUGGCAGAUCCAGUCUGACAAGAACAAAAGGUCAAACAGUUCUUUUGCUACUCUGUGACAGUUAAAGAGUCUCUGGGUUGGGUUAAAGGGUUGGAGAGUUAUGUUUAGAUCUGGAAUGGAUCACUCACACAAUUAAGUUCUUGUCAGACCUAAAAACAUGACAGCACAACUUUCCCCAGGCAAAAGGACAGCCAGAUGGAAAGCAACUAUUUUUCUCAACCUAUCUCAAAAUUUGAAAUGAGAAUAAAUAAUGGAAAAAACAUUUCUAAGUUUCAGAACAUACUUCUACUUGGGCUGCUGGGGUUGUUAUUUUCGGGUGACAUUUGUAAAUCAUGGGAAAACAUAAUCUGACUUUUUUCCUCAUUGGAAACUGGUUACUCAAGUGAAAAACUAACCCUUUUAUCACCUUUUAACUCAGAAACUGAGCACUAAAAGAUAUUACAGUUUAGACAGUACUCAACUAUUGAAUCCAUAUUUUUAGUCAUUAUACAUUGACUUAUACAACACUGCUUGCAACGUAUAAUUUAGAUAUUCAUCUCUCAGCUGAUGAGUAAACAUUUUGAGUAUUUUCCUGCUGAUGCUGCCUGCAAGCAACAGUUCAGUUUUGGCAUUUUCAUCAUCUUUGUCUGACAUGAAUUUUUGUUUCUGUUCAAUUAUUGGCAAAAUAGAACUAUUGCGCCAAAGACAAAUUAUUAGGCUUGCUAUAGGUGGCAAAGUAUUUGGCUUCAACCAGAUAUUCAUUGUGUGAUAAACUAUCAAGGAAAAUAAUGUAUAAAGUUUCGGAAAUACACUGGUGAAAACGCUAUCAAAAAGGCAAGAUGCCUUGAGAAGGACCUUUCCUCCUUCCACAUAUGCAGUAUAGGAACACAUUUAAGUCUAUUGUUCAACUUUCAGCGAUGUGACUUAGUUACACAUUUUGGAGACCUAAUAUGUACUAAAACAGGGGACUACAUAUUGCCUAAAGGUUAGACUCUAAAUCAAUUAUUAGUGACCAAGUCCAGCACAGGUUCACAGAAGAUUAAGAGAUAAAAGGAUCCACAGAGCUUACCUACUUCAAAAUGUGAUAGUACUGUAGAUGCAAAAACUGGAGGCCACAUAGAUUAUUUUACUUGCCUAAUGCUCUACAACUGAAUUUAUGGUAAUGCUGGGUCCACAACCUGGGGUUUCUCUAACUCAGCAGUCUUUCCAUCACUAUUAUUUUGUUAAGCUCUGUCAUGUUAACAUUACAAUUCUAUCAGGUCCCUCAAAAAUCAUGGGAGGUAUAAUUCCUGACAGCCUGGAAAUUACAGUGCCUCCAGGUUCUGGGUCUGUAAAUGUCCCUUGUUCCACUAAAUUAAUAUGGUAUCUACUAAUACCUGAAUGCCAAAUCAAUACAGGCUGAUGCUGCAAAUAUUUUAAAAAUGUUUUCUGCAUUUUAUCUUCUAGGUCUAGGGUUAAAUGUCACUUUUUCAGACAUGCCUUUUCUAGCACGCAUAUCUAUGCUUUCCUGUUCUUCAUGUAACUUUACAGCACAUACUGUAUUUUGAAAUCAGUUAUUUAAUUAUUAUAUAUCUUCUCAAAUAUAUUAUUUAAUUCCAUGAAGGCAGGGUCAUUUCUGUUUGGUUCACAACUGUUUAUAUAGCACCUACCACAUAGUCUCAGCAUAUAAAAGAAGCUCAAAUAUUUGUUGAAUAAACAAAUGAAUUUCUCUCUCUAAUUAUGGUUGAGGCAAGCCUUAUGGAAGCCCUAAUUAUCCCUUUUAGUCUGUCCUAAACUUGAUAUCUAAGCCCAAGGGAUUAAAGUUCCAGGGAAGUAGAUUUUCCUGAGAUUUUUAGCUCAGUAAAAGCUAGCAAUUAGAUUCAGAAAUGGAAUGAGCAGUUUUGUUGGACACUGAUUUCUUUGUCAAAAAGAGACUGGAAAACCAAGCGCCCAGGUAAACAGAACCUCUCUGCAUUAGGCAGAAGGUCAACUUUGCAAACUCUCAGGUGUCUUCCAACUCUUAAGGCUCUGGAAUUUGUUUCUUUUCAGCUGUUUGAUUUUAAAUUAGGUUAAAGUAUACAUACAAACUUCAUUAGGAAAUAAUCUAGGAGAACCCAUCUAAUGAGACUUAGAAAACUGAUUAUUCAGGCAUGCAUGCCCAUUUACAAUUACUUGAUACAUGCGUAUUCCACUGAGAAUACAAUUUGCUAUAGGUCCUUAUACAUGUAACUCAAUGAAGACAAAGACUAAAACAAGUUUUUAAAAAGUUUAUGUAGCAUUUCAAUUUUAAACAUAUGCAUGUGUGUGUGUGUGCGCACACACGUAUUAUAUCAACUCUGAAGAAAAUGAUGUUGAGUUCCUAUACAGUAAGCAGCUUGUCCAAAGUGCUAGAAUUGUCAGGUUCCAAACUCCCCAAUCAGUGCUCUUUUCACUCUCAUAGACCGCACUACUUUUUUUUUCUUUUUUUAGAUGGAGUCUCCC